Molecule: long non-coding RNA, 31043 nt
Filed under: Vitis vinifera (wine grape)
Lineage: Eukaryota; Viridiplantae; Streptophyta; Magnoliopsida; Vitales; Vitaceae
Description: long non-coding RNA (VVIN_LNC006903)
Source: RNAcentral
CCUCAAAUGGAGUGAAAGCUUUGAUGUUGGGGAGAGGACCUUCCAACUGAUUGUAGGAUAUAUCAACAACUGUCAGGCUUAUCAGAUCAUCAAAAGUGUGUGGGAUGGUGCCAGAGAGCCCGUUAUGGGAGAGAUUCAACGUUUCCAGGUUCUUUAAUUCUCCAAGCAGCGGUGGAACCUCUCCUGUCAACAUAUUUUGACUAAGAUCGAGACUUUCAAGAUUUUGCAUCUUUCCAAUUUCGUCAGGAAUGCUAUCCACAAAUCUAUUCUCGCUCAAGUUGAAGAACUGUAAUUUCAAGAAGUUUCCCAGCUGUUUGGGAAUUGGACCGCUUAAGUUGUUUGAUGCCAAGUUAAGAAUUUCAAGAUUGGAUAAGUUUCCCAAUUCCAAAGGAAUACUGCUUGAAAGAUUGUUGUCUCCUAACAACAAUUUGAACAAUAAUGGCAACAUUCCCAACUCUUUUGGGAUCUUCCCACUUAGAUGAUUGGCGGAGAGAUCAAGUUGUUGCAGUUGAAUUGCUUUCCCAAGUUGAGGCGGUAUAGCACCAGAAAUAUUGUUGUUGGAGAUGUUCAGGCUUGUGAGCAUGUGGCACUGCCCCCAUUUCUCAGAAAGCUCACCAUAAAAAUUGUUGCUGCUUAGAUCAAUAUAAUUUAGGGUCGGGUACACACCAAAACUUUCGGCUAUGUCUCCCGUCAGUUGGUUUCUUUCAAGCCUAACUCUGAAUAAACUAGUGCAAUUUUUCAAGCUUUUUGGAAUAGGACCAGUGAAAUGGUUUCCCAUAGCCGUAAAGUUUUCAAGAACACUACCAAGGCAUAUCUCUUGUGGUAGUUGGCCAAUGAAGUUGUUCUCAGAUAACUGUAAAGAUUUCAAAUGAGUGAUAUUAUUCAUUUCAAGAGGAAUGGCACCACUAAGCUCGUUGUGAUUAAGGAACAAAAAGGUUAAGCUAGACAAGUUUCCUAUGGAAGCUGGUAUUGAACCGUUAAGAUUGUUGAAUGACAAGUCAAGAUCAUAAAGCAAUCUCAACAAUCCAAUUUCUUGAGGUAUUGAACCAGAAAGCUCGUUCUCAAAAAGAUAUAAAGUGGUUAAGUUCCUCAAGUUACCUAUGGAAGGAGGGAUUGGACCAGUGAGAUUGUUAUGUGAUAAUUGAAGAUCAUUAAGAGAUCUUAACAAUCCAAUUUUUUGAGGGAUGGAACUAGAAAGCUCGUUCUUAAAAAUAUGCAAAGUGGUUAAGUUUCUCAAGUUUCCUAUGGAAGGAGGGAUUGGACCAAUGAGAUUGUUAGAUGACAACUCAAGAGUGAGAAGGUUAGGGAGUGAAGAGAAAUUGAGAUUGUGGAGUGUACCUCUCAAACAGCAACUGUGAAGGUCUAAAUCGGAGACACUUCCUGACUUGUGACAAGUCACUCCAAACCAAUGAUGGCAAGAAUUGCGUCCAGACCAAGAAGAGAGGAAAGAUUGGGUUUGAUUAUCAAGACUGGCCUUCCAUGUUAGAAGAGUGAGUGCUUCUUGAUCUUGUUCAACUUUCAAAAGAGAAGUGGUAGGGGUAGAGGCAGAAGUAAAAGUGACAUGGAAUAAUGAUAUUGAGUAUAGAAAUAAAAGGAUGAAUAUGAAGAAGCAAGGAGUGAUGAUGAGUUGGCGGAGUAAGGAGAAAGAUGAAGAAUAUUCAAGGCCCAUUAUUGAAUUGGUAGAAAUGAAGAUGAAACACUUAUUUAUAGACUUAAAUGUGAUACAUCCAACAUUUCCAUUAGUUGAUGUUGACAUCUAACCACCUACUUCGUCUACGAUUAAUGGAACUAAAAAGGAUUAUAUACAUGAGUUCAAUUCCACACUUAUUUUAUUUUAUUUUAUCAAAAUGCUCUUAAUUUUUUAAUUAAAAUUUACACCUACAAUUACAUAUGAAAUAAUUAAAAUAUUUCUUUUUCACUUCGUGCACUUUUAAAUAUAACUUGUUUAAAAUUAAUAAUUACAAUUCAUUUUAAGAAGUAGGGACAAAAUAUGCCCACGUCAACAACCUAGUUGAUAUAGGAAGUCCACUUCAACCAACAUUACUUGUACAUAUGUCUUUAUAUAAAACACUUAAUGUAUUUUUUUUUUUCAAAAAUUCAUAAAUAUAAACGUAAUUUUAUUUACAACAAAGUUGCUAUAUUCCUAUACUAAAUUUUAUAAAAAUGACAUUUAAAACUUUAAUUUUCUUAAUCUAUUUUUUAAAUAAUAUUGUAAUGAAAGAAAAAGGGAAGAAGAAGUAUAUAUAUAUGUGUGUGUGUGUGACUAAAUCGAGAGAGAGAGAGAGAGAGAGAGAGAGAGAGAGAGAGAGAGAGAGAGAGAGAGAGAGAGAGAGAGAGAGAGAGAGAGAGAGAGAGAGAGAGAGAGAGAGAGAGAGAGAGAGAGAGAGGAAAAUAAGAAAAUUGAAUAACUAAAUAGAUAAAUGAAAUUCAAUCACUUUAAGAAGUUUACACCUAUUCACCAAAAAAUAGAAAAUGGGUAAAUAGUAAAUACAAGAAAAUUAGAAAUUCAAUUACUCCUGAAAAUGAUGAUUGACCAUGCCUUAUAGGAUUUGAAAUCUUUAACAAAACUCAAUAUCAAUUUUAAGCAUCAAUGAAUGAAAUAAUAAUAAUAAUAAUCAUAUGGGGCUUAGGUCAUAAAUUUUAUUUCAAAAUCAUUUAAGAUAUAAAUCAAUUAAAACUAAAUUUUUAAGUUUAUAAAUUUUAAAUUCCUCCCUUACUCACUAUUUGGAUUAAUAAUCAAAUUGCUUAGGUCAUAAAUUUUAUUUCAAAAUCAUUUAAGAUAUAAAUCACUUAAAACUGAAUUUUUAAGUUUAUAAAUUUUAAAUUCCUCCCUUAAUGUUUGGAUUGAAUUCUUUUAACUAUUUUGCCCUAUGAGAAAUAAACUCUUUUUAACUCUAUUAGUUCUUUCAUAAUUUUUAUCCUUACAAUAUGAACUAUAUUAUUUCUCUUAAUAUUUUAUAGAUCAUUUAUGGUAUAUUUUAAAACCAAAUUAGUUGUCAUUUCUUCUAUUUCUUUCCUAGACAAAUGCAUGAUUUGUGGUCGAUGUUUAUCAUUUUUAUUAAAGGUUUUUGCACUCAUUUGUAAGUGAGACCCAUCACCUAUGAAAAAUAUAGACAUCUUUUUUUUUUUUUUUUUCAUUUGGCAGUCUUAAGGAAUUAGUAUUUGGACAAAAACAAGGACUAAGGACUACCAAAUUUUCACUUUGUUGUACAUCCAAAUAAGACACACAAUCAUUUAUGUAUUGUCUAUUUUAGGCCCAAGGAGCUCUCAAGGUUUUAAAAUGCAUCUCUAAGGUUAAGAGUAACCCAACAUAUAUAUCGUUAUGAACUUUGUUCUCUAUCCGAUGUGGGAUGUUAUAAAAGUUGUUCAACAGGAUUAAUACAUUUGUGAAGCUCAGAAGAAUCACAAAAAUCAAAGGAAAAUCUUUUAAGCAUUACAACAUAAAAGAUGCAGGACCCAACCACACAUGCAUUUUCCUUAUCAAACAAUUGUCUUGACAAGCCAUUCUAACCCCACUUGGCUUGCCAUCACUAGUGAUGGACCUACAUCAUUCAAAUUCUCAAUGCUCUUUGAAGGCAAUAUGCGCUUGAAGUCAAAAGAGCUUCGAAUUUUUGUUAGAUAGUUCAUCUUUGCUAUUUGGGAACAUAUUUUCCUUUUCUCUUUUUGUUCUCUUUUUUUUAUUAAUAGAAAGUUUACCCUUCUAGAGUGUAAAAUCCUCUUCAACUUUGCAAUUAGAGUUAAUACAUCUCGUAUUCAAUUCAAUCCUCGUCUUUUUUGACCUCCUAAAUUCUAAACCUUGUCUGGGUUUUCCAGUUUUGUGAAAAAUUACAUCAUGGGGACCUAACAGGAUGGGAUUUGAUUCAAUGUUAAAGAGAAAAUUUUGGAAAAAUCUGCAAAACCCUCAACAGUUGUGGCCAUAGCUCAACACCAAGAUGGGAAUUUACAAUCUAAUAAUGUUGAUGAAUGGUUCAUAGACUGCUCUACAAAACUAGAGUUUGUCGGAAUGCUUUGCCUUUGUUGAAAGAUGUGAAGGUCCUCACAUUCUUGAGCAGGAAGAACCUAGGUCCAAAGUAAUCAGAAAAGGAUAAGAACGCCUAGAUCAUUUCACACUGAAUCACUUUACUCUAGCUACUCUGGUUAAACGGAUUCAUCCCAGAGAAACCCUGUGAAGAUAGCAGCCUUGUUUUAGUUAUAAAAAGAAGAAAUAUGAUCAUUACUUUUGUACAAACAAUGAUAUUUAUUUAGUAAUGUUUACAUAUUCUUAGCAUGUAAAAAGAAGUAGACUUAAACGUUUAAGAACAUUUAGAUACCGGUUUAAGCAAAUAUAUUAUUCAAAGUUAUACAUAUAGCUCUAUUAGAUUUAAGUUAAAUAAAGUUAAGAGUCAAAAUUUAUAUUAAGAAACAAAUGUUACCUGAGAGUAAUUCCUCUUACAUUGUAGCAGAACUAAAAAAAAAAAAAUUAAUUCCUUCAAUAGAAUUUAUAUGAAAACUUCAUUUAUUUUGUGCAUGCAUUAAAAUAAUGAUUUGACUUGAAUUUAUUAACAAACUAAAACAAAAAUUAUUUGUAUUAUUUAUAUAUCAUUAUUAAAAAUUACAUAUUUGGAUAUGAAUAUAGAAUUCCCUUUCUAAUUACAAGUUUUUAAUCAAAACUUUUGUUGUCUUUGAUAGGGUGGAAAUAUUGUUACAUUCCUAAUUCAUAUCAACAAUUGUGUGGAAAAGUCAUUGCAUUCCUAAUUGUUGUCAAUAAUUGUGUGGAGAAGUUGUUGCAUUACUAAUUCUUAUCAACAAUUGCUUUAAAAUUUUUGCUAAAUAAUCCAAGUUCUAGAAAUUAUUGAACUAUCCAUGUUUACUCAAUGACAAGUCUAAAAAUUUAUAAAAAUAAUUUAGAAGUCUAUAACUAACUCAAAUAGUACUAUAGUCCAGGACCCAAAACUUUCUUAGUACAUAAUGUUGAAAAUCUACCAAAUUUUACCAAAUCUUUUCUAUACAAGCCAAAAUUGAAUCAAGUUGAAUUGGAUUCUUUAGUUUCGUUUCAAAUAUACUAAAAUUUAUUAAAAAUAACUAGAGGUAAAGAUUCUUAAUGAAACCAUUCCAAAAUUGAAACUAUGUAAACAUUAUUAACUGGACCCACAAUCUAUUGAAAUAACACAUGGAAAACUUACCAAUUGAUCUUGUUUAAACUUCCUAUUACAAUUUUUUUUUUAAAUAAAUAAAUAAAUAAAUCCCUAGACGGGACUGAAUAUGUGAGGCUCAGAAGAAUCAUAAAAAUCAGACGAAAAUCUUUUGGGCAUUACCACAUAAAAGAUGCAGGACCACACAUGCAGUUUUCUUAUCAACCAGUCAUCUUGACAACCCACUUUGAAGCCCACUUGGGCUUGCCAUCACCAUUGAUGGACUUACAUCAUUCAAAUUUUCAAUGAUCUUUAAACGCGAUAUGUGCUUCAAGUUGAAAAGGAUUGUAGUUUUUGUAAGAUUGUUCGCCUUUGCUAUUUGGGAACUCAUUUUUCUUUUUCUCUUUUUUUUCCAUUUUUUUUUCAUAGAACGUUUACCCUCCUUGAAUUUAAAAUCCUCCGUUCUCUGUUCAGAUUUCAGCUUUGUAAUUGGAAUCAAUAGAUCUCAUAUUCAAUUCAAUCCAAGUGUUUUUCUGGCCUCCUAAAUCCUAAACCCUAUCUGGGUUUUCCAUUUUUGUGAAAAAUUAAAUCACCAGGUCCGGGGCCCAACAGGAUGGGAUUAUAUUCAAUGUUAGAGACAAAAUUUUGUAAAAGUAUAUCUACAAAACCCCCUCAACAGUUGUGGCCAUAGCUCAAGACCAAAAUGGGAAUUUACAAUCUAAUAAUGCUGAUGAAUGCUUCAUUGACUGCUCUAUCAUACUAGACUUUAACUGAAUGCCUGUCAUUUGUCGAAAGACAUGAAGUUCCUCACAUGUAGAUAUGAACAUAAAAUUCCCUUUUCAACUGCACACAUUUGUAAUCAAGACUUUUGUUGUCUUUAAUAGAGUGGAAAAGUCAUUGCUUUACUAGUUCUUAUCAAUAAUUGUUUUCAAGGAAUCUAGACCCAAUAUUCAUAUCAUCAAUGGUAGCCAUCAAUUAUCCUAGUUGAUGUGAGUGGUAUAAUCAAGGUAAAGUAUAUAUGAGCUUGAUGUAUUAAAUCUGACUGUUAAAAUAGAAAGUGAGGAUUGAAUCCAUUGUAUUAAGGCUAAGUAGGGUAUUUUACCUAGAUUAUUUUUUUUUUCUUUUUAAAAGGUAAAAUUUGUAUUAAAACUUCAUCUAUGUCAAGGCAUAGCACAAAUGAAGGGUGGCAUGCUUUCAUGUAGAAAUAAAAUAGAAUUUCAUUUUCUAAAUAGGGUAUUUUACCAUUGUUGUAAAUAAUUUCUUUUACUUCUUCCUUCCUGAGAGUCAAGAACUCGAAGAUAUUUGCUUCCCAAUAUUUCCCAUCCAAUCAUUCCCAUCAAUUCUUCGUGAAGGAUUGGCUUGUAAGAGACGGAUUUUAUUUUAUUUUUUAAAGUAUUUAAAUAGAAACAUGCAAUAAAAUGAUUAUAUUUUUCUUUAAUUUUAUUUUGGUUUCCAAAAUCAUUAUUUCUCAAAUAUAUUAUUUUAAUUAUAUCAAAUAAGAAUAUAUAAUUAUCAUUUCUUAAGAUAGUAUUGUUAAAUUACCAAUCUUUAAAAAUUUCAUUACGGUAACAAAUGUUUAAAAAAAAUUAUUACCAUUUUUUUUAAAACUAUUAGUCUUGAAAUAAUUUGUUUUAAUUGUAUAAAAAGAAGAAAGAUGAUAAUUAUUUUUGUAUAGACAAUGGUAUUUAGUUAGUCAUUUUUAGAUAUUCUUAACAUGUAAAAAGAAGUAGACUUAACAUUUAAGAACAUUUAGAUACCACUUUAAACAAAUAUAUUAUUCAAAAUCAUACAUCUAGCUCUAUUACAUUUAAGUUAAAUAAUGUUAGUCAAAAUUCAUAUUAAAAAAAAAUGAUACCUAAGAGUAAUUCCUAUGACAUUAUAACAUGAACUAAAAAAAAAAAUUCCUUAAGUAGAAUUUAUAUGAAAACUUCAUUUAUUUUAAGCAUGCAUUAAAAUAAUGGUUUAUCUUGAAUUUAUUAACAAACUAAAAAAAAUAAAUUAUUUGUAUUGUUUAUCAUUAUUAAAAAAGAUGUCUUACUUUUCAAUUAAAAUUACAUAUUUAGAAAUGAAUAUAGAAUUCCCUUUCCAAUUGCAAGUUUUUAGUCAAAACUUUUGUUGUCUUUGAUAGGGUGGAAAAAUUGUUACAUUCCUAAUUCGUAUCAACAAUUGUGUGGAAAAGUCAUUGCAUUCCUAAUCCUUGUCAAUAAUUGUGUGGAAAAGUUGUUGCAUUACUAAUUCUUUUCAACAAUUUCUUUCAAGGAAUCUAUACCCAAUAUUCAAAUUAUCAAUAGUAGAUGUCAAUGAUCCUAAUUGAUGUGAGUCAUCUAAUCAAAGUGAAGUGUACAUGAACUUCAUCUAUUAAAUCUUAGUAUUAACAUAAAAAGUAACAAUGGAAUCCUUUGCAUCAAGGCUUAAGGAACAGUAAUUAUAAUGCUAGGAAUCUAGAUUAAUUUUCUUAAGUAUAAAGUAAGUCCAUACCUUUUGUAUAAAAGUUUCUACUUUUAUAUAAAAAUUUCUACUUUUUUUUAAAUAAAAUAUAUUCAAAUGAAACCUAAAUACUUAAAUAAAAAAUAUAUCAAAUAAUAACAUUUAAUUUAAACUAGUAAUUAAAAAUGAUAAAAAACUUAUAAGCAAAAAACUAUACUCAAUAAAGAUUUAAACUAAUUAAGUUCUAAUAAAUAAUUGCUCGUGCUUGACCCGUUUUAAAGCCUUUUCACAACUUGAAAUCAUCUUAAGAAACUUGUCCCAAAGUUUUCACAUGCAUUCAUGACUUUGAUAGGUAGUGUCAACUUCUGAAUACCAAAAACAACCAAAAUAAUUGCUCGUGCUUGACCCGUUUUAAAGUCUUUGCCCAACUUGAAAUCAUCUUAAAAAACACUUGCCCCAUAGUUUUCACAUGCAUUCAUGAGUUUGAUAGGUAGUGUCAACUUCCAAAUAACAAAAACCACUAAAAUAAUUGCUCAUGCUUGACCCAUUUUAAAGUCUUUGUCCAACUUGAAAUCAUCUUAAAAAGUAUUUGUCCUAUAGUUUUCACAUGCAUUCAUGACUUCGAUAGGUAGUGUCAACUUCCGAAUAACAAAAACAACCAAAAUAAUUACUUGUGCUUGACCCAUUUAAAGUCUUUGCCUAACUACAAAUCAUCUUAAAAAAAACUUGUCCCAAAGUUUUUACACGCAUUCAUGACUUUGAUAGGUAGUGUCAACUUCCGAAUACCAAAAACAACCAAAAUAAUUGCUCGUGCUUGACCCGUUUUAAAGUCUUUGCCCAACUUGAAAUCAUCUUAAAAAACACUUGCCCCAUAGUUUUCACAUGCAUUCAUGAGUUUGAUAGGUAGUGUCAACUUCCAAAUAACAAAAACCACUAAAAUAAUUGCUCAUGCUUGACCCAUUUUAAAGUCUUUGCCCAACUUGAAAUCAUCUUAAAAAAUACUUGUCCUAUAGUCUUCACAUGCAUUCAUGACUUCGAUAGGUAGUGUGAACUUCCGAAUAACAAAAACAACCAAAAUAAUUACUUGUGCUUGACCCAUUUAAAGUGUUUGUCUAACUUGAAAUCUUCUUAAAAAAAACUUGUCCCAUAGUUUUCACAUGCAUUCAUGACUUUGAUAGGUAGUGUUAACUUCAUACUUGACCCAUUUUAAAGUCUUUGCCUAUCUUGAAAUUAUCUUAAAAAAAUUAUUCCAUAGUUUUUGCAUGCACUCAUGACUUUGAUAGGUAGUUUCAACUUUUGAAUAACAAAAACAACCAAAAUAAUUGCUCAUGCUUGACCCAUUUUAAAGUCUUUGCGUAACUUCAAAUCACCUUAAAAAACUUGUCCCAUAUUUUCACAUGAAUUCAUUGUUUUGAUAGGUAAUGUCAACUUCUAAACCAAAAUGACUAAAAUAAAACUCGUGCUUAAAUCAUUUUAAAGUCUUUGCCUAACUAAUAGUCUAUUUUGUUAGAUUGUGAAACCUAAAUUAAUGUUGAGGGUUAAGCUCAGCUUGUUAAGAAGUUUUUUUAUUUAUUGAAUGGUGAUUUUGCCAUGUUGAUAUUGUAUUUAACCUUCUUGUAAUUUAGGGUUUCAUGUGAAAGUUGAGAGAAGGAGAGGCUUCCACAUUGUAACCUUUCUAUCUUCUUGUGAUUAAUAGAUUCUUGAGUGUUGGUGCCCUCUAUGGGCGUAGGGAAUUCAUUGAAUUUCGAAUACCACUCUUAUAUGUGGUUGCAUUAAUAAUCUUCAUAGUCUCACUUGCAUUCAUGACUUCAAUAAUUGGUGUAAUGAUGUCAUGACUUAUCUCCUUGAAUUUUCUUUUGAGAAAACUAUUAUAGAGGUGACUAGAAACCUAUCGAAUUUCAGUCCAACCUCACCUUUAGACAAGUUAGGCAAUCCCCUAAAGCACUCACUCCAUAAAAAGCUCCAAUUUUUUUUUAAUUAUUAUUAAUACUUUUUUUCUUGUUUUUUUUAGCUAUUUUAAAUAGUUAUCGAUAGUUUUUUAUUUUAAUUAAGUGAUGAACAAAAAAGAAAAGAAAAGUUAAAAAGAAUGCCCAAACUUUUAUAAUUAUCUAUAUAUAUUUGGCAUUGAGACAUUGAUUCAACUACGUUUACCCAUUAUUGUCAUUAGGAUUUAUUAUUUCAAUUUUAUUAGUCUAUAAAAAAAAUAUAUUGAUUUUAUUUUGAAAACUUAACAGGUUUUAUUAAGUCUUUUUAUCUUUCUCAACUUCGUGGUUUUUAUCUCAUAUUAUCUUUUUCACAUAGUAGAAAAAGAAAAAGAAUUGUAACUCAAAUACACAAAGGAAAUAAACUAUAUGUCCUACAAGUGUAAUUAAUAUAUAAUAAAGAACUCUAGAGCUAGAUACACAUUAACUUGCUCUCUGAAGUUAUUCCACCUUCUCAAUUUGCACACGAGUCUUUACUUGAAAACAUUAAAAUUAAUUGAAAUAACAUAAGAUCUAGUGAAAAGUUGUGAUUCACAAGUGUUAUGAUGGUCAAAAUAAAUUUAGAACAUAUUAAAAUUUAUAAUAGGAUAUAAGAAGUAUAUGAGAUUUAAAAAUAUGUAAUCAUGAUUCUAGACAUAUCUAUGGUCAAUCUAUUAUCUAUACAUAAGCUUACUACUUGUGGCAAUACCACAUCAACAUGAUCUUUAAGAUCUCACUAUCCUAGAUCACAACUCAUUUUUUGGUCAUCCAUCUAAGGACACAAUAAAGCAUAAUUUACCAUUUCAGACUCUACUGCCUAGCUUGAUAUCAAAACCCACAACACCAAUUUAUGGUCCUCCCCCUUACUACAUAAGUGGUGUGGAGUUUUAGAUCAAAACUAAAUGAAACACCCAUUGAUAUACAUGCUAUGUAUCAUACUCAUUAUAUAUUAAUCUCUAAAAUUUUAACAAUUGAUUUAAAAUAUAACAAAGUUAGUUGGUGUUAACAUUGAACCACCUCCUUAUCAUCUAUAAUUAAUCAAAUUGGAAAGGAUUAUAUACAUGAGCUCAAUUACAUUCCAAACUUGUUUUGUUUUAUUUUAUUUAUUUUAUCGAAAUGCUCUUAAUUUUUUAAUUAAAAUUUAUACAUGUAAUUACCCAUGAAAUAAUUAAAAAGUUUCCUUUUCACUCUCUUCUCUUUUAAAUAUAACCUAUUGAAAACUAACAAUUAAAAUUCUUUUUAAGAAGUGAGGGCCAAAAAUUCCUUAACAAAGGCCCACAUCAACAACCUAGUUGAUACAGGAAGUCCACUUGACCAACACAACCUAUACAUAUGCCUUCAUAAAAAAUAAAAAACAAAUAAAAAGUAAAUCUUCUUUGAGUAUGUAAAGCCAACAUGGGAUGGGAGGCAAGUAGGUAGUACAUCAUUAAAAGAAAAGAAAAGACCAAAGGAGGUAGUGAGAUGAUAAAAAAAGACUGGAGAGUACAAAUAUGCAUUUCCAGAAUGUUUGCAACCUUAUAUUGUUCAUCAUGUAAAGAUGUGGGAGUAAAUGGUAAUUGUGGAUACCGAGCUAUAGCCUCUACUUUGGGCAUGGGUGAGCAUGAUUAGCCAUAGGUUAGGCAAGACUUGUUGUGGGAGUUAUAUACAUAUUGUGUAGAGUAUGACAUGUUAUUUUAGGAUAACUUGCUAGUUGAUGAGCUCUUUCAUUCCCUAAAUUUCUUGGAUAAUCCUACUUUGAUUGAUAGAUGGAUCACUACGCCCCAUAUGGGCCAUAUUGUAGUUUCUAAAUACAAUGUUGUUGUCCACAUAUUGAUCUAGCGGUGCCUAACAUUCUAGCGUCUUCGAUUGAUGUUGUUGUCUAUACCUAUACGAAAGAUUAUAUUAAUUGGUUUUGUUAAUAACAAUCAUUUUAAGAAGGCAAUGUCAUGAAUACUACUAUACUUUAUUUCUAAUUCAUUAAUCUUACUUAAUGAAGUUAUUUACUAUAAUAUAAAAUUGAUUUAUAGGUUUUGAUGCAACCUGGAGCCCUAAUGCCACCUAUUACAAGGAGCUGGUAUAGGAGUCGAUAUCAAUGUGCUUAGGGUUGGGCGACUCCAUAUGUACCCACCAUUGAGAUGUUUCAUGAUUUAAUUUCUGAGAAUGUUAUCACAUAAGAUACUAUUGAUUUGGAUGUUGAUGUAUGAUGUAUUGUAUUAUAAAUGUUGUAUGACAAUGUAAUCAAGGAAGAUACUAUGUAUUUGAAUGAUGAUAUAUAAUCUAUUGUAUUAUUAUUGUUCUAUGAUGGUUUAGAUGCCAAUGUCACUUUGAAUAUUGAUGGUAGUGUGAAAGUUACAUACAACCGUUAAAAAAUUUAUAAGCAUAGGAGAUUACAACAGUAAGAUCAUAUAAUAUGGAAAAAUUUUGCAAAAAUAUCAUAACGUACAAAAUGACUUAUUAAAAUAUAUUGUUUGCAAAAUAAUAUUUUAUAACCAUAUAAUGUGGACAUAAAAUGCUUGCAAAAUUUCAUAAUAUAACAGAUGGAAAAUAAGGCUUUUGGGUUACCUUUUGAAAUGCCUUAAAAUUCUGAUUUGUUUUUUUACUGACCAAUUUUCUCGCUUCAAGUCAUGAAUGGAACUACAAAUACAAGAACCAUUCUUUUCUCAUAGCACAAGAGCCUUGACCUUUGUUUUCACAGAGAAAAAAUGAAUAAAAUUCGAGAAAAGAACUUAUUUCUUCAUAAAGAAGAAUUGUAUUCUUUCUUUUGUUUUUAAGGAGAGAAGAAAACAUAUUUUAAAAAAAAUUAAUUGUCACAGCUUUUGGGAAGUUUUAAAACUCCCAAAACUAUUCCCCUAUUUUCUCACAUUUAUUGGGUUGGAUCAGGUUAGCCCACUUGGGCACCCAUACCCAACUCUAACAUCCCCCACUUACACAAGAUGGGUUGAACUAGCUUGAUCACUCAUCCAAGUCCAUUAUGUUCCACUUUUGAAGGUCAUUCAUACAGGUAAAUGGGUCGUGUGACCAUGUAAGCACACCUACAAUUUGGGAGCUAUAAUUUGGUAACCAACACAGACCAGCUCCUCAUUGAGAUUGUCCAUGCUACAUAGUUGAUAAUUUAGAAAAGCAAAAUGGCUCAUAAUACAAAAAGUCAAACAUCAGAUCAAAUUCCUUUUUCUGCCCCCCAAAAGUAUCGUGAUAUACAAUGUUAUGUUACCUAAAAAAUAUAUAAGCCUGACCUAAAAAGUACCGUGAUAUUACAUCCCAUACUGCUUCUAAUCCAUAAGAAGCUCCCAAAGGUAAUCCUAGAUAAAUGUAAGGAAGUUUCCUCACCUUUGCAACCCAAUUCAGUAGUUAGACUAUCUACAUCUGUGACCUUUCCAAUUGAAAUCAAUUCACUUUGAUCCAAUUUGAUUCUAAGCACUAAUAAUGCCUUAAACCAUAUGAGUAUCCAACUUAGAUAAGUCAUUUGCUCUUGAGAAUUCUCAUAGAAGACCAAAGUGUCAUCUGCAAAUAAUAGAUGGGACACAACCACCCCCUCUCCCCCCUCCCUUUCACCCUAAAACUUGAUAAGUAACCCCCCUCUUAGGCUCUCUCCAACAAGCAACUCAAGACCUCCAUAACCAAAACAAACAAAAAAAAAAAAAGGACAAAGGAUCCCAAUGUCUCAGCGCUCUAGAAAUUUUAAAAGAAACCAAAAGGAGUUCCAUUAACCAACACUGAAAACUUUGCUAUGGAAAUGUACUAUUACAUCCAUCUAAUCCAUUUAUGGUUAAAACCCCCUUUUUUUUUUUUUCAUAACUACAAUCAGAAAAACCCAAUUGACAUGGCCAUAUGCUUUUUCUAUGUCCAACUUGCAAAUGACACCAUUGGAGUUGACCUUCAAGGUUAAAUCAAUUGCUUCAUUCACUACAAGGGAUGCAUCUAAAAUUUGUCUCUCCUCUACAAAGGCGUUCCGAAACUUAGAAACCACUUUUCCCCACCACUUGCUUCAAUUUAUUUGCCAACACCUUUGCCAAAAGUUUGUAAAGACCCUAUUAAACCUAUUAGUCUAAAAUCUUUCAAAUCCUCUACACCCCCCUUCUUUAAGAUUAAAGACAAAAAAGUAACAUUUAAACUUCUUUCGAGCUUGCUAUUAGCUUUUGGUUAAUAAUUCAAAUGGGGGGGAUAACAAUGAGAGGAGUUAAGUCCAAUUUUGAGGAGAUGUUACCUUUGUGUAUCCUUAAUGGACUCAUACCUUUGUGUACAAUUUUCGUUGUAUAUAUAGUGGAGGCGUUUAGUCUUACUUUGAUUAGGAUUUUGUAUUUUGUGAGAAAGAGCUCUCAUAUUUCUUUUGUACCUUUUUCAUAGUUAAUAUAUCUUAUGUUCCUAAUAAAUAAAUAUAUACAUAUAUAUUAAUGAAAGGAGCUAUAUGGCAAGGUGCAUAGGUUGUAUACAAGAUAAAAGUCAAAAUAUAAUUCCUUUUCAUAAUUAUAAUUACAAAAUAUAAUUAUGUAUUUUUUAAUCGAAGUACUCAAUUAUAUUAGGUUUAUUUCAUAUAAAUAUAUUUUGAGUUUAUUAUGUAUGUAAUUUUUUAUUAAUAUUUGUUGGAAAAAUAAUUAAUACUUAUUAAAAAAUUUUAAAGGCAAUACUUACUAAAUUUUUUUUAAGAAAUACCGACCCUAAUCUAAAAAGGGUAUAAUUGAAGUUCAUAAGAGAUCAAAAUUUCAAUUACAAAUUUGGUGACCGUUUUGAAUACUUGUCAACUAAUUAUAAAUAUUUUGGAUAAUUUUUCCAUGGCCAAAUUGAAAGAAAGGCAAAUAAUUAAAGAGAUUGGAAUGGAUCUCUACUUCUCUAGAAAGGAACCCGCCAUUGAAAUUAUUGAAUGCAGCCAAAAGCAUCAAUUAAUGUGAUGGAGAUUCGUCUUUGUCUUUGAUACACGUGGGUGAGUAAACGUCCAUAUGAGAAAAUAACAUUAUUAACGUUAUAUAACCUCUCACAUUAAAUAUUACUUGAAUCAGGUAGAAUAGAUUUGAAAUGGAGGGAACUUAAUGUGAAAAGAAAAUAAGGGUGCACCAUCUCUAUCUGUUUUCCAUUAACAAAUUAACCAAAGUGCAAAUUCAACGAUUGGGAUUUAUUUUGAUCUGAGAGUUUUGAGAAGCUGUUUGUUGAAAUGUCUGAAUGAAUGACUUGGGUUUCAGCUCAUGAAUCUAGAAAUAUACCACAUGAAAGGCCUCUUCUUUUUUGAAAGACGCAAUACAAGCUUUUACAGGAGUGCAAUAUAUAACAUAUUCGAAAGAACAAUACUUUGAAGGGAUUGUCCAAAUUAAUAAAACAGAAUACCAAGUCAAAAUUACAACUUUACAUCAUGGAGAAGGGAGGACCCUCAACUAGCAUGACCCAGCAGCUCACCCAAUGUUAUCAUGGGAAACGGUUUUGACAAUGGUGGCCACUGUGUUGGGAGUGCUCGACCAACUUGUUGCAUAGUCGGCCGAGAUUGGGGAUUAAUACGCAAGCAUGCAAAUGCUAACUUCACUACAGCCACUACUUCCUCAGCCACUUGAUUCACAGGAGGUGAGGGGCGCUGGUCCAUCACAUCAUUCAACAGGCGAUGGUCCACAGUUGAUGGUGAUGAGAAUGAUGAGGACGCUGACGAUAACAGGGACGAGAUGAGUUCUCCAGGAUGCCUUCCCAUAAUGACUUCCAAUGUUACCACUCCGAAGCUAUAAACAUCAGUUUUAUUAUCAACCUUCAUGGUGUAAGCAAGUUCUGCAAAGAAGAUUUGAUCAUGCUCUGUUCUGCUAAGCAAUUAUAACAGUUCUAUAUAUGAUGUAUAGAGGCAGUACAGAGGUAAGCAAGGAACUAAGAAAAUUGUACCUGGAGCAGUAUAACCAAAAGUUCCUGCAAAUGAAGUCCAAUUAGAUGAGUCCGACUUUAAAAGCCUAGCCGUGCCAAAGUCAGAUACAUGAGCCUCAUAUUCUGAAUCUAACAAAACAUUGUUGCUCGAUAUGUCUCGAUGAACUAUAGGAGGUGAGCAAUCAUGGUGCAUGUAAGAUAAAGCUUUAGCCAUGCCUUUAACAAUGUUUAGCCUCACAAUCCAAUCUAAUUUUUCUGCUUCUUCGUCGUUGCUUAGAAUGUUUCGCAAGCUCCCCUUUUCCAUAAACUCAUAAACCAAAAAUGAGAUCUCUGCAAAUGAACUGAAGCCAUAAAGCUUGACGAUGUUGCGAUGCCUUAUCUGUGUUAAAGCAUGAAUCUCGCUUUUGAAAGCUUUCAAAUCAGCCAUAUCUCCAUCUUGUGAUGAGUGAAGUUUUUUCACAGCAACAACCCGGCCUGUUGGCAACUCAGCCUUGUAAACAGUACCAUAUCCUCCAGUGCCGAUACACUGUUUCGAACUGAAAUUAUCGGUCCCCUGUAUGAUGUGCUCAUACAACAAUUCUCCAUCAUGGCCCCAUAUUGCAAAUAGAUCUUCAACAUCUGCUUCUGGAGACUUGGUUUUUCUCUUCCUCAAUUUUUGGAAAGAAAAUAAAUGCCANAAUAAAAGAAAAUUGCACCAGAGAAAUGAUUGAAACCAAAGUCAAGACUUGUAAUCAGUUUGGAAAGAUUACCAAUGUUGAUUGAAAUGGUUCCAUAAAGGGAGUUGUUAUAAAGAUUAAGAGUGAGAAGGUUGGGGAGUGAAGAGAAAUUGAGAUUGUGGAGUGUACCUCUCAAACCGCAACUGUCAAGGUCUAAAUUGGAGACACUUCCUGACUUGUGACAAGUCACUCCAAACCAAUGAUGGCAAGAAUUGCGUCCAAACCAAGAAGAGAGGAAAGAUUGGGUUUGAUUAUCAAGACUGGCCUUCCAUGUUAGAAGAGUGAGUGCUUCUUGAUCUUGUUCAACUUUCAAAAGAGAAGUGGUAGGUGUAGAGGCAGAUGUAAAAGUGACAUGGAAUAAUGAUAUUGAGUACAGAAGGAAAAUGAGAAAUAUGAAGAAGCAAGGAGUGAUGAUGAGUUGGGGGAGCAAGGAGUAGGAUGAAGAAUAUUCAAGGGCCAUUGUUGAAUUGUUAGAAAGGCAGUUAUUAAGAGGUUUACUUGGAGGGAAGAAUGAACAUGAAACACUUAUUUAUAGACUUAAAUGUGAUACAUCCAACAUUUCCAUUAGUUGAUGUCGACAUCUAACCACCUGCUUCAUCUAUGAUUAAUGGAACUAAAAAGGAUUAUAUACAUGAGUUCAAUUCCACACUUAUUUUAUUUUAUUUUAUCAAAAUGCUCUUAUUUUUUUAAUUAAAAUUUACACCUACAAUUACAUAUGAAAUAAUUAAAAAUAUUCCUUUUUCACUCCAUGCACUUUUAAAUAUAACUUGUUUAAAAUUAAUAAUUAAAAUUCAUUUUAAGAAGUAAGGACAAAAUAUGCCCACAUCAACAACCUAGUUGAUACAAGAAAUCCACUUUAACCAGCAUUACCUAUAUAUAUAUGUCUUUAUAUAAACCACUUAAUGUAUUUUUUUUUCAAAAAUUCUUAAAUAUAAACUUAAUUUUAUUUACAAGAAAGUUGCUAUAUUCCUACACUAAAUUUUAUAAAAAUGACAUUUAAAACAUUAAUUUUCUUAAUCUAUUUUUUAAAUAAUAUUGUAAUGAAAGAAAAAAGGAAGUGUAGGUAUAUGUAUGUAUGUAUGUAUAUAUAUGUGUGUGUAACUGAAUAAAGAGAGAGAGCUAUAAGAAAAUUGAAUAACUUAAUAGAUAAAUGAAAUUCAAUCACUUUAAGAAGUUUACACCUAUUCACCAAAAAUAGAAAAUGGGUAAAUAGUAAAUACAAGAAAAUUAGAAAUUCAAUUACUCUUGAAAAUGACGACUGACCAUGCCUUAUGGGAUUUGAAAUCUUUAACCAAACUCAAUAUCAUUUUUAAGCAUCCAUGAAUGAAAAAUAAUAAUAAUAAUAAUAAUAAUAAUAAUAAUAAUAAUAAUAAUAAUCAAGUGGCUUAGGUCAUAAAUUUUAUUUCAAAAUCAUUUAAGAUAUAAAUCAAUUAAAACUAAAUUUUUAAGUUUAUAAAUUUUAAAUUCCUCCCUUACUCACUAUUUGGAUUAAUAAUCAAAUUGCUUAAGUCAUAAAUUUUAUUUCAAAAUCAUUUAAGAUAUAAAUCACUUAAAACUGAAUUUUUAAGUUUAUAAAUUUUAAAUUCCUCCCUUACUCAUUGUUUGGAUUGAAGUCAAAAGAGAUUCAAAUUUUUGUUAGAUAGUUCAUCUUUGCUAUUUUGGAACAUAUUUAUUUAUUUAUUUAUUAAUAGAACGUUUACCCUCCUAGAGUGUAAAAUCCUCUUCAGCUUUGCAAUUAGAGUCAAUAUCUCGUAUUCAAUUCAAUCCUCGUCUUUUCUGACCUCCUAAAUUCUAAACCCUGUCUGGGUUUUCCAGUUGUGUGAAAAAUUACAUCAUGGGGACCUAACAGGAUGGGAUUUGAUUCAAUGUUAAAGAGAAAAUUUUGGAAAAAUCUGCAAAACCCUCAACAGUUGUGGCCAUAGCUCAACACCAAGAUGGGAAUUUACAAUCUAAUAAUGCUGAUGACUUCAUAGACUGCUCUACAAAACUAGAGUUUGUCGGAAUGCUUGUCCUUUGUUGAAAGAUGCGAAGGUCCUCACAUUCUUGAGCAGGAAGAACCUAGGUCGAAAGUAAUCAGCAAAGGAUAAGAACGCCAAGAUCAUUUCACACCGAAACACUUUACUCUAGCUACUCUGGUUAAACGGAUUCAUCCCAGAGAAACCCUGUGAAGAUAGCAGCCUUGUUUUAGUUAUAAAAAGAACAAAUAUGAUCAUUACUUUUGUACAAACAAUGAUAUUUAAUUAGUAAUGUUUACAUAUUCUUAGCAUGUAAAAAGAAGUAGACUUAAAUGUUUAAGAACAUUUAGAUACCGGUUUAAACAAAGAUAUUAUUCAAAGUUAUACAUAUAGCUCUAUUAGAUUUAAGUUAAAUAAAGUUAUAGUCAAAAUUUAUAUUAAGAAACAAAUGUUACCUGAGAGUAAUUGCUCUUACAUUGUAGCAGAACUAGAAAAAAUAAAAAUUAAUUCCUUCAGUAGAAUUUAUAUGAAAACUUCAUUUAUUUUGUGCAUGCAUUAAAAUAAUGAUUUGACUUGAAUUUAUUAACAAACAAAAACAAAAAUUAUUUGUAUUAUUUAUCAUUAUUAAAAAUUACAUAUUUGGAUAUGAAUAUAGAAUUCCCUUUCUAAUUACAAGUUUUUAGUCAAAACUUUUGUUGUCUUUGAUAGGGUGGAAAUAUUGUUGCAUUCCUAAUUCGUAUCAACAAUUGUGUGGAAAAGUCGUUGCAUUCCUAAUUGUUGUCAAUAAUUGUGUGGAGAAAUUGUUGCAUUAGUAAUUCUUAUCAACAAUUGCUUUCAAGUUUUUGCUAAAUAAUCCAAGUUCUAGAAAUUAUUGAACUAUCCAUGUAUACCCAAUGACAAGUCUAAAAAUUUAUAAAAAUAAUUUAGAAGUCUAUAACUAACUCAAAUAGUACAAUAGUCCAGGACCCAAAACUUUCUUAGCGCAUUUUUUUUCUUUCUUUUUUUAUAUUUUUUUUAUAGAACGUUUACCCUCCUUGAAUUUAAAAUCCUCUGUUCUGUGUUCAGAUUUCAGCUUUGUAAUUGGAAUCAAUAGAUCUCAUAUUCAAUUCAAUCCAAGUGUUUCUCUGGCCUCCUAAAUCCUAAACCCUAUCUGGGUUUUCCAUUUUUGUGAAAAAUUAAAUCACUAGGUCUGGGGCCCAACAGGAUGGGAUUAGAUUCAAUGUUAGAGACAAAAUUUUGUAAAAAUAUAUCUACAAAACCCUCUCAAUAGUUGUGGCCAUAGCUCAAGACCAAGAUGGGAAUUUACAAUCUAGUAAUGCUGAUGAAUGCUUCAUUGACUGCUCUACCAUACUAGACUUUGACUGAAUGUCUGUCAUUAAUUUGUCGAAAGACAUGAGGAACACAUGUAGAUAUGAACAUAAAAUUCCCUUUUCAACUGCACACAUUUGUAAUCAAGACUUUGGUUGUCUUUAAUAGAGUGGAAAAGUCUUUGCUUUACUAGUUCUUAUCAAUAAUUGUUUUCAAGGAAUCUGGACCCAAUAUUCAUAUCAUCAAUGGCAGCCAUCAAUUAUCCUAGUUGAUGUGAGUGGUCUAAUCAAGGUGAAGUAUAUACAAGCUUCAUGUAUUAAAUCUUACUAUUAAAAUAGAAAGUGAGGAUUGAAUCCAUUGUAUUAAGGCUAAGUAUAUAUAAGCUUCAUCUAGGUAUUUUACCUAGAUUUUUUUUUUCUUUUUAAAAGGUAAAAUUUGUAUUAAAACUUCAUCUAUGUCAAGGCAUAGCACAAAUGAAGGGUGGCAUGCUUUCAUGUAGAAAUAAAAUAGAAUUUCAUUUUCUAAAUAGGGUAUUUUACCAUUGUUGUCUUUGAUAGGGUGGAAAAAUUGUUGCAUUCCUAAUUCCUAUCAACAAUUGUGUGGAAAAGUCGUUGCAUUCCUAAUCCUUGUCAAUAAUUGUGUGGAAAAGUUGUUGCAUUACUAAUUCUUAUCAACAAUUGCUUUCAAGGAAUCUAUACCCAAUAUUCAAAUUAUCAAUAGUAGACGUCAAUGAUCCUAAUUGAUGUGAGAAGUCUAAUUAAAGUGAAGUAUACAUGAACUUCAUUUAUUAAAUCUUAGUAUUAGCAUAAAAAGUAACAAUGGAAUCCAUUGCAUCAAGGCUUAAGGAACAAUAAUUAUAAUGCCGGGAGUCUAGAUUAAUUUUCUUAAGUAUAAAGUAAGUCCAUACCUUUUGUAUAAAAGUUUCUACUUUUAUAAAAAAUUUCUAUUUUUAGAAACAAAAAAUAAAAUAUAUUCAAAUGAAACCUAAAUACCUAAAUAAAAAAUAUAUAAAAUAAUAACAUUUAAUUUAAACUAGUAAUUAAAAGUGAUGAUAAAAACUUAUAAGCAAAAAACUAUACUUAGUAAAGAUUUAAACUAAUUAAGUUCUAAUAAAUAAUUGCUUGUGCUUGACCCGUUUUAAAGUCUUUGCACAACUUGAAAUCAUUUUAAGAAACUUGUCCCAAAGUUUUCACAUGCAUUCAUGACUUUGAUAGGUAGUGUCAACUUCCGAAUACCAAAAACAAACAAAAUAUUUGCUCGUGCUUGACCCGUUUUAAAGUCUUUGCCCCUUGAAAUCAUCUUAAAAAACACUUUCCUCAUAGUUUUCACAUGCAUUCAUGAAUUUGAUAGGUAGUGCCAACUUCCAAAUAACAAAAACCACUCAAAUAAUUGCUCAUGCUUGACCCAUUUUAAAGUCUUUGCCCAACUUGAAAUCAACUUAAAAAAUACUUGUCCUAUAGUUUUCACAUGCAUUCAUGACUUUGAUAGGUAGUGUCAACAUCCGAAUAACAAAAACAACCAAAAUAAUUACUUGUGCUUGACCCAUUUUAAAGUCUUUGUCUAACUUGAAAUCAUCUUAAAAAAACUUGUCCCAUAGUUUUCACAUGCAUUCAUGACUUUGAUAGGUAGUUUUAACUUCAUACUUGACCCAUUUUAAAGUCUUUCCCUACCUUGAAAUCAUCUUAAAAAACCUAUUUCAUAGUUUUUACAUGCACUCAUGACUUUGAUAGGUAGUGUCAACUUUUGAAUAACAAAAACAACCAAAAUAAUUGCUCAUGCUUGACCCAUUUUAAAGUCUUUGUGUAACUUCAAAUCACCUUAAAAAACUUGUCCUAUAUUUUCACAUGAAUUCAUGACUUUGUUAGGUAAUGUCAACUUCUAAACUAAAAUGACUAAAAUAACAGUCGUGCUUAAGCCAUUUUAAAGUCUUUGCCCAACUUAUAGUCAUUUUUGUUGGAUUGUGAAACCUAAAUCAAUCUUGUUGAGCUACACAAGGGAUUUUAAGUCAAGCUCAACUUGUUAAGAAGUUUUUUUAUUUAUUGAACGGUGAUUUUACCCUGUUGCUAUUGUAUUUAACCUUCUUGUAAUUCAGGGUUUCGUGUGAAAGUUGAGAGAAGGAGAGACUUCCACAUUGUAACCUUUCUAUCUUCUUGUGAUUAAUAGAUUCUUGAGUGUUGGUGCCCUCUAUGGACAUAGGGAUUGCAUUGAUUUUCGAAUACCACUCUUAUAUGUGGUUGCAUUAAUAAUCUUCAUAGUUUCACAUGCAUUCAUGACUUCAAUAGGUGGUGUAAUGAUGUCAUGACUUAUCUCCUUGAAUUUUAUUUUGAGAAAACUAUUCUAGAGUUGACUAGAAACCUAUUGAAUUUCAGUCCAACCUCACCUUUAGACAAGUCAAGCAAUCCCCUAAAGCCCUCACUCCAUAUAAAGCUCCAAUUUUUUUUUUUAUUAUUACUUAUUUUUUCUAGUUUUCUUUAGAUAUUUUAAAUAAUUAUUGAUAGUAUUUUUAUUUUAAUUAAGUGAUGAACUAAAAAGAAAAGAAAAGUGAAAAAGAAUGCCCAAACUUUUAUAAUUAUCUAGAUUUUUUUUGUGGCAUUGAGACAUGGAUUCAACUACGUUUACCCAUUAUAGUCUUUAGGAUUUAUUAUUUUAAUUUUAUUAUUCUAUAAAGAAAAUCUAUUGAUUUUAUUUUGAAAACUUAACAGGUUUUAUUAAGUCUUUUUAUUUUUUUCAACUUCGUGGUUUCUAUCUCAUAUUAUCUUUUUCACAUAGUAGAAAAAGGAAAAGAAUUUUAACUCAAAUACACAAAGGAAAUAAACUAUAUGUCCUACAAGUCUAAUUAAUAUAUAAUAAAGAACUCUAGAGCUAGAUACAUAUUAACUUGCUCUUUGAAGUUGAUUCUACCUUCUCAAUUUGCACACGAGUCUUUACUUGAAAUAUUAAAAUUAAUUGAAAUAACAUAAGAUCUAGUGAAAAGUUGUGAUUCACAAGUGUUAUGAUGGUCAAAAUAAAUUUAGAACAUAUAAAAAUUUAUAAUAGGAUAUAAGAAGUAUAUGAGGUUUAAAAAUAUGUAAUCAUGAUUCUAGACAUAUCUAUGGUCAAUCUAUUAGCUAUACAUAAGCCUACUACUUGUGCAAUACCACAUCGACAUGAUCUUUAAGAUCUCACUAUCCUAGAUCACAACUCAUUUUUUGGUCAUCCAUCUCAGGACACAAUAAAGCAUAAUUUACCGCUCCAGACUCUACUGCCUAGCUUGAUAUCGAAACCCACAACACCAAUUUAUGGUCCUCUCCUUUACUACAUAAGUGGUGUUGAGUUUUAGAUCAAAACUAAAUGAAACACCCAUUGAUAUACAUGCUAUGCAUCAUACUCAUUAUAUAUUAAUCUCUAAAAUUUUAACAAUUGAUUUAAAAUAUAACAAAGUUAGUUGGUGUUAACAUUGAACCACCUCCUUAUCAUCUAUAAUUAAUCAAAUUGGAAAGGAUUAUGUACAUGAGUUCAAUUACAUUCCAUACUUGGUUUGUUUUAUUACAAAACAAAAUUUUGUAAAAAUAUAUCUACAAAACCCUCUCAACAGUUGUGGCCAUAGCUCAAGAUCAAGAUGGGAAUUUAAAAUCUAAUAAUGCUGAUGAAUGCUUCAUUGACUGCUCUACCAUACUAGACUUUGACUGAAUGCCUGUCAUUAAUUUGUCGAAAGACAUGAAGUUCCUCACAUGUAGAUAUGAACAUAAAAUUCCCUUUUCAACUGCACACAUUUGUAAUCAAGACUUUGGUUGUCUUUAAUAGAGUGGAAAAGUCUUUGCUUUACUAGUUCUUAUCAAUAAUUGUUUUCAAGGAAUCUGGACCCAAUAUUCAUAUCAUCAAUGGUAGCCAUCAAUUAUCCUAGUUGAUGUGAGCGGUCUAAUCAAGGUGAAGUCUAUAUGAACUUCAUGUAAUAAAUCUUACUAUUAAAGUAGAAAGUGAGGAUUGAAUCCAUUGUAUUAAGGCUAAGUAGGGUAUUUUACCUAGAUUAAUUUUUUUUUCUUUUUAAAAGGUAAAAUUUGUAUUAAAACUUCAUCUAUGUCAAGGCAUAGCACAAAUGAAGGGUGGCAUGCUUUCAUGUAGAAAUAAAAUAGAAUUUCAUUUUCUAAAUAGGGUAUUUUACCAUUGAUGUAAAUAAUUUCUUUUACUUCUUCCUUCGUAAGAGUCAAGAACUCGAAGAUAUUUGCUUCCCAAUAUUUCCCAUCCAAUCAUUUCCAUCAAUUCUUCAUGAAGGAUUGGCUUGUAAGAGACUGAUUUUAUUUUAUUUUUUAAAGUAUUUAAAUAGAAACAUGCAAUAAAAUGAUUAUACUUUUUCUUUAAUUUUAUUUAGGUUUCCAAAAUCAUUAUUUCUCAAAUAUAUUAUUUUAAUUAUAUCAAAUAAGAAUAUAUAAUUAUCAUUUCUUAAGAUAGUAUUGUUAAAUUACUAAUCUUUAAAAAUUUCAUUACGGUAACAAAUGUUAAAAAAAUUAUUACUAUUUUUUUUAAAACUAUUAGUCUUGAAAUAAUUUGUUUUAAUUGUAUAAAAAGAAGAAAUAUGAUAAUUAUUUUUGUAUAGACAAUGAUAUUUAAUUAGUCAUUUUUAGAUAUUCUUAACAUGUAAAAAGAAGUAGACUUAACAUUUAAGAACAUUUAGAUACCACUUUAAACAAAUAUAUUAUUCAAAAUCAUACAUCUAGCUCUAUUACAUUUAAGUUAAAUAAUGUUAUAGUCAAAAUUCAUAUUAAAAAAAAAAUGAUACCUAAGAGUAAUUCCUAUGACAUUAUAACAUGAACUCAAAAAAAAAAUGAUUCCUUAAGUAGAAUCUAUAUGAAAACUUCAUUUAUUUUAAGCAUGCAUUAAAAUAAUGGUUUAUCUUGAAUUUAUUAACAAAAUAAAAAAAUAAAUUAUUUGUAUUGUUUAUCAUUAUUAAAAAAGAUGUCUUACUUUUCAAUUAAAAUUACAUAUGUAGAAAUGAAUAUAGAAUUCCCUUUCCAAUUGCAAGUUUUAGUCAAAACUUUUGUUGUCUUUGAUAGGGUGGAAAAAUUGUUACAUUCCUAAUUCGUAUCAACAAUUGUGUGGAAAAGUCGUUGCAUUCCUAAUCCUUGUCAAUAAUUGUGUGGAAAAGUUGUUGCAUUACUAAUUCUUUUCAACAAUUGCUUUCAAGGAAUCUAUACCCAAUAUUCAAAUUAUCAAUAGUAGAUGUCAAUGAUCCUAAUUGAUAUGAGUCAUCUAAUCAAAGUGAAGUGUACAUGAACUUCAUUUAUUAAAUCUUAGUAUUAACAUAAAAAGUAACAAUGGAAUCCUAUGCAUCAAGACUUAAGGAAUAGUAAUUAUAAUGCUCAGAAUCUAGAUUAAUUUUCUUAAGUAUAAAGUAAGUCCAUACCUUUUGUAUAAAAGUUUCUACUUUUAUAUAAAAAUUUCUAAUUUUUUUUAAAUAAAAUAUAUUCAAAUGAAACAUAAAUACUUAAAUAAAAAAUAUAUCACAUAAUAACAUUUAAUUUAAACUAGUAAUUAAAAAUGAUGAAAAAACUUAUAAGCGAAAAACUAUACUCAAUAAAGAUUUAAACUAAUUAAGUUCUAAUAAAUAAUUGCUCGUGCUUGACCCGUUUUAAAGUUUUUGCACAACUUGAAAUCAUCUUAAGAAACUUGUGCCAAAGUUUUCACAUGCAUUCAUGACUUUGAUAGGUAGUGUCAACUUCUGAAUACCAAAAACAACCAAAAGAAUUGCUCAUGCUUGACCCGUUUUAAAGUCUUUGCCCAACUUAAAAUCAUCUUAAAAACUUGUUAGUUGGUGUUAACAUUGAACCACGUCCUUCUCAUCUAUAAUUAAUCAAAUUGGAAAGAAUUAUAUACAUGAGCUCAAUUACAUUACAAACUUGUUUUGUUUUAUUUUAUUUAUUUUAUCGAAAUGCUCUUAAUUUUUUAAUUAAAAUUUAUACAUGUAAUUACCUAUGAAAUAAUUAAAAAGUUUCUUUUUCACUCUCUUCUCUUUUAAAUAUAACCUAUUGAAAACUAACAAUUAAAAUUCUUUUUAAGAAGUGAGGACCAAAAAUUCCUUAACAAAGGCCCACAUCAACAACCUAGUUGAUACAGGAAGUCCACUUGACCAACACUACCUAUACAUAUGCCUUCAUAAAAAAUAAAAGACAGAUAAAAAGUAAAUCUUCUUUGAGUAAGUGAAGCCAACAUGGGAUGGGGAGGCAAGUAGAUAGUACAUCAUUAAAAGAAAAGAAAAGACCAAAGGAGGUAGUGAGAUGAUAAAAAAAGAUUGGAGAGUACAAAUAUGCAUUUCCAGAAUGUUUGCAACCUUAUAUUGUUCAUCAUGUAAAGAUGUGGGAGCAAAUGGUAAUUGUGGAUACCGAGCUAUAGCCUCUACUUUGGGCAUGGGUGAGCAUGAUUAGCCAUAGGUUAGGCAAGACUUGUUUUGGGAGUUAUAUACAUAUUAUGUAGAGUAUGAUAGGUUAUUUUAGGAUAACUUGCUAGUUGAUGAGCUCUUUCAUUCCCUAAAUUUCUUAGAUAAUCCUACUUUGAUUGAUAGAUGGAUCACUACGCCCCAUAUGGGCCAUAUUGUAGUUUCUAAAUACAAUGUUGUUGUCCACAUAUUGAUCUAGUAGUGCCUAACAUUCUAGUGUCUUCGAUUGAUGUUGUUGUCUAUACCUAUAUGAAAGAUUAUAUUAAUUGGUUUUGUUAAUAACAAUCAUUUUAAGAAGGUAAUGUCAUGAAUACUACUAUACUUUAUUUCAAAUUCAUUAAUCUUACUUAAUGAAGUUAUUUAUUAUAAUAUAAAAUUGAUUUAUAGGUUUUGAUGCAACCUGGAGUCCUAAUGCCACCUAUUACAAGCAACUGGUAUAGGAGUUGAUAUCAAUGUGCUUAGGGUUGGGCGACUCCAUAUUUACCUGCCAUUGAGAUGUUUCAUGAUUUAAUUUUUGAGAAUGUUAUCACAUAAGAUACUAUUGAUUUGGAUGUUGAUGUAUGAUGUAUUGUAUUAUAAAUGUUGUAUGACAAUGUAAUCAAGGAAUAUACUAUGUAUUUGAAUGAUGAUAUAUAAUCUAUUGUAUUAUUAUUGUUCUAUGAUGGUUUAGAUGCCAAUGUCACUUUGAAUAUUGAUGGUAGUGUGAAAGUUACAUACAACCGUUAAAAAAUUUAUAAGCAUAGGAGAUUACAACAGUAAGAUCAUAUAAUAUGGAAAAUUUUUGCAAAAAUAUCAUAACGUACAAAAUGACUUAUUGAAAUGUAUUGUUUGCAAAAUAAUAUUUUAUAACCAUAUAAUGUGGACAUAAAAUGCUUGCAAAACUUCAUAAUAUAACUGAUGGAAAAUAAGGUUUUCGGGUUACCUUUUGAAAUGCCUUAAAAUUCUGAUUUGUUUUUUUACUGACCAAUUUUCUCGCUUCAAGUCAUGAAUGGAACUACAAAUACAAGAACCAUUCUUUUCUCAUAGCACAAGAGCCUUGACCUUUGUUUUCACAGAGAAAAAAUGAAUAAAAUUCGAGAAAAGAAUUUAUUUCUUCAUGAAGAAGAAUUGUAUUCUUUCUUUUGUUUUUAAGGAGAGAAGAAAACAUAUUUUAAAAAAAAUUAAUUGUCACAGUUUUUGGGAAGUUUUAAAACCCCCAAAACUACUCCCCUAUUUUCUCACAUUUAUUGGGUUGGAUCAGGUUAGCCCACUUGGGCACCCAUACCCAACUCUAACAUCCCCUACUUGCAUAAGAUGGGUUGAACUAGCCUGAUCACUCAUCCAAGUCCAUUAUAUUCCACUUUUGAAGGUCAUUCAUAUAGGUAAAUGGGUCGUGUGAACAUGGAAGCACACUUACAAUUUGGGAGCUAUAAUUUGGUAACCAACAUAGACCAGCUCCUCAUUGAGAUUGUCCAUGCUACAUAGUUGAUAAUUUAGAAAAGAAAAAUGGCUCAUAAUACAAAAAGUCAAACAUUAGAUCAAAUUCCUUUUUCUGCCCCCCAAAAGUACCGUGAUAUACAAUGUUAUGUUACCUAAAAAAUAUAUAAGCUUGACCUAAAAAGUACCGUGAUAUUACAUCCCAUACUGCUUCUAAUCCAUAGGAGGCUCCCAAAGGUAAUCCUAGAUAAAUGUAAGGAAGUUUCCUCACCUUGCAACCCAAUUCAGUAGUUAGAUUAUCUACAUCUGUGACCUUUCCAAUUGAAAUCAAUUCACUUUUAUCCAAUUUGAUUCUAAGCACUAAUAAUGCCUUAAACCAUAUGAGUAUCCAACUUAGAUAAGUCAUUUGCUCUUGAGAAUUCUCACAGAAGACCAAGGUGUCAUCUGCAAAUAAUAGAUGGGACACAACCACCCCCUCUCCCCCCUCCCUUUCACCCUGAAACUUGAUAAGUAACCCCCCUCUUAGGCUCUCUCCAACAAGCAACUCAAGACCUCCAUAACCAAAAAAAAAGAAAAAAAAAAAAAGGACAGAGGAUCCCAAUGUCUCAGUGUUCUAGAAACUUUAAAAGAAACCAAAAAGAGUUCCAUUAACCAACACUGAAAACCUUGCUAUGGAAAUGCACUAUUGCAUCCAUCUAAUCCAUUUAUGGUUAAAACCCUUUUUUUUUUCAUAACCACAAUAAGAAAAACCCAAUUGACAUGGCCAUAUGCUUUUUCUAUGUCCAACUUUCAAAUGACACCAUUGGAGUUGACCUUCAAGGUUAAAGAAAUUGCUUCAUUCACUACAAGGGAUGCAUCUAAAAUUUGUCUCUCCUCUACAAAGGCGUUCCGAAACUUAGAAACCACUUUUUCCCACCACUUGCUUUAAUCUAUUUGCCAACACCUUUGCCAAAAGUUUGUAAAGACCCUAUUAAACCUAUUAGUCUAAAAUCUUUCAAAUCCUCUACACCCCCCUUCUUUAGGAUUAAAGACAAAAAAGUAACAUUUAAACUUCUUUCGAGCUUGCCAUUAGCUUUUGGUUAAUAAUUCAAAUGGGGGGGAUAACAAUGAGAGGAGUUAAGUCCAAUUUUGAGGAGAUGUUACCUUUGUGUAUCCUUAAUGGACUCAUACCUUUGUGUAUAAUUUUCCUUGUAUAUAUAGUGUAGGUGUUUAGUCUUACUUUGAUUAGGAUUUUGUAUUUUGUGAGAAAGAGCUCUCAUAUUUCUUUUGUACCUUUUUCAUAGUUAAUAUAUCUUAUGUUCCUAAUAAAUAAAUAUAUACAUAUAUAUAUAUAUAUAUAUAUAUAUAUAUAUAUAUAUAUAUAUAUAUAUAUAUAUAUAUAUAUUAAUGAAAGGAGUUAUAUGGCAAGGUGCAUAGGUUGUAUACAAGAUAAAAGUGAAAAUAUAAUUAUGUAUUUUUUAAUCGAAGUACUCAAUUAUAUUAGGUUUAUUUCAUAUAAAUAUAUUUUGAGUUUAUUAUUUAUGUAAUUUUUUAUUAAUAUUUGUUGGAAAAAUAAUUAAUACUUAUUAAAAAAAUUUAAAGGCAAUACUUACUAAAUUUUUUUUAAGAAAUACCGACCCUAAACUAAAAAGGGUAUAAUUGAAGUUCAUAAGAGAUCAAAAUUUCAAUUACAAAUUUGGUGACCGUUUUGAAUACUUGUCAACUAAUUAUAAAUAUUUUGGAUAAUUUUUCCAUGGCCAAAUUGAAAGAAAGGCAAAUAAUUAAAGAGAUUGGAAUGGAUCUCUACUUCUCUAGAGAGGAACCCGCCAUUGAAAUUAUUGAAUGCAGCCAAAAGAAUCAAUUAAUGUGAUGGAGAUUCGUCUUUGUCUUUGAUACAAAUUGGUGAGUAAAUGUCCAUAUGAGAAUAGAUUUGAAAUGGAGGGAACUUAAUAUGAAAAGAAUUGGGAUUUAUUUUGAUCUAUGUAUCAUGUUCUGAGAAUUUUGAGAAGCUGUUUGUUGAAGAAGUGUGAAAUUGAUUCCUCGACUUCUUUGGAUAUGAGACCAUGAUUUAGAUUCUUGAUUCUGUUGCUUUUCUUUUAAGAACUCUGUAUUUUCUACUCUCCUUCUAGAUCACUAGGGUAAGAAAUCUUGAAGAAGGAUUGUAAACCAACAUUUAAUUCUUAUGCUCUUUAUAAUUGGUUAGGCAAAUGACUUGGGUUUCAGCUCAUGAAUCUAAAAAUAUACCACAUGAAAGGCCUCUUCUUUUUUGAAAGACGCAAUACAAGCUUUUACAAGAGUGCAAUAUAUAACAUAUUCGAAAGAACAAUACUUUGAAGGGAUUGUCCAAAUUAAUAAAACAGAAUACCAAGUCAAAAUAACAACUUUACAUCAGAAGAGAGGACCCUCAGCUAGCAUGACCUAGCAGCUCACCCAACAUUAUCAUGGAAAACGGUUUUGACAAUGGUGGCCACUAUAUUGAGAGUGCUCGACCAAGUUGUUGCAUAGUUGGCCGAGAUUAGGGAUUAACACGCAAGCAUGCAAAUGCUAACUUCACUACAACAACUACUUCCUCAGCCACUUGAUUCACAGGAGGUGAGGAGCGCUGGUCCAUCACAUCAUUCAAUAGGUGAUGGUCCACAGUUGAUGGUGAUGAGGAUGAUGAGGACGCUGAUGAUAACAGGGACGAGAUGAGUUCUCCAGGAUGCCUUCCCAUAAUUACUUCCAAUGUGACCACUCCGAAGCUAUAAACAUCAGUUUUAUUAUCAACCUUCAUCGUGUAAGCAAGUUCUACAAAGAAGAUUUGACCAUGCUUUGUUCUGCUAAGCAAUUAUAAUAGUCAUAUAUGAUGUAUAGAGGCAGUUUAGAGGCAAGCAAGGAACUAAUAAAAUUGUACCUAGAGUAGUAUAACCAAAAGUUCCUGCAAAUGAAGUCCAAUUAGAUGAGUCCAACUUUAAAAGCCUAGUCGUGCCAAAGUCAAAUACAUGAGCCUCAUAUUCUGAAUCUAACAAAACAUUGUUGCUCGAUAUGUCUCGAUGAACUAUAGGAGGUGAGCAAUCAUGGUGCAUGUAAGAUAAAGCUUUAGCCAUGCCUUUAACAUUGUUUAGCCUCACAAUCCAAUCUAAUUUUUCUACUUCUUCGUCGUUGCUUAGAAUGUUUCGCAAGCUCCCCUUUUCCAUAAACUCAUAAACCAAAAAUGAGAUCUCUGCAAAUGAACUGAAGCCAUAAAGCUUAACGAUGUUGCAAUGCCUUAUAUGUGUUAAAGCAUGAAUCUUGCUUUUGAGAGCUUUCAAAUCAGCCAUAUCUCCAUCUUGUGAUGAGUGAAGUUUUUUCACAGCAACAACCUGACCUGUUGGCAACUCAGCUUUGUAAACAGUACCAUAUCCUCCAGUGCCGAUACACUGUUUCGAACUGAAAUUGUCGGUCCCCUGUAUGAUGUGCUCAUACAACAAUUCUCCAUCAUGGGCCCAUAUUGCAAAUAGAUCUUCAACAUCUGCUUAUGGAGACUUGGUUUUUCUUUUCCUCAAUUUUUGGAAAAGAAAAUAAAUGCCAAUAAUAAAAGAAAAUAAGAACAAUAGAGUGCUCACAGUGAGGAGCACUAUGAUCAAAACAGAAAACUUGUUGGCCCUCUUUCGACUAGCACUAUAUAGCUUGAGAUGAGUGACAUCAUUUCCACACAGACCUUUAUUAUUUUUGAAUGCCUCAAAUGGAGCGAAAGCUUUGAUGUUGGGGAGAGGACCUUCCAACUGAUUGUAGGAUAUAUUAGCAACUAUCAGGCUUAUGAGAUCAUCAAAAGUGUGUGGGAUGGUGCCAAAGAGCCCGUUAUGGGAGAGAUUCAACGUUUCCAGGUUCUGUAAUUCUCCAAGCAGUGGUGGAACCUCUCCUAUCAACAUAUUUUGACUAAGAUCGAGACUUUCAAGAUGAUACACCAUUCCAAUUUCGUCAGGAAUGCUAUC